CGAAAGCCUGACGGAGCAAGACCGCGUGUGGGAGGAAGGCUCUUGGGUCGUAAACCACUUUUCUCAGGGAAGAAGAAAGUGACGGUACCUGAGGAAGAAGCCUCGGCUAACUCCGUGCCAGCAGCCGCGGUAAGACGGAGGAGGCAAGCGUUAUCCGGAAUUAUUGGGCGUAAAGCGUCCGCAGGCGGCUUUUUAAGUCUGUUGUUAAAGCCCACAGCUCAACUGUGGAUCGGCAGUGGAAACUGAAUAACUUGAGAGCGGUAGGGGUAGAGGGAAUUCCCGGUGUAGCGGUGAAAUGCGUAGAGAUCGGGAAGAACAUCGGUGGCGAAAGCGCUCUACUGGACGGCAACUGACACUCAGGGACGAAAGCUAGGGGAGCG
This 380-nucleotide ribosomal RNA is filed under the name uncultured cyanobacterium. RNAcentral's name for it is "bacterial SSU rRNA". It matches the Rfam family "Bacterial small subunit ribosomal RNA", at positions 376 to 770 of the family's 1533-position model. The record is from RNAcentral. Lineage: Bacteria; Bacillati; Cyanobacteriota.